RNAcentral lists this transfer RNA (88 nucleotides) under Chlamydiales bacterium. Its description in RNAcentral is "tRNA-Ser". It matches the Rfam family "tRNA". From Rfam's summary of the family: Transfer RNA (tRNA) molecules are approximately 80 nucleotides in length. Their secondary structure includes four short double-helical elements and three loops (D, anti-codon, and T loops). Further hydrogen bonds mediate the characteristic L-shaped molecular structure. tRNAs have two regions of fundamental functional importance: the anti-codon, which is responsible for specific mRNA codon recognition, and the 3' end, to which the tRNAs corresponding amino acid is attached (by aminoacyl-tRNA synthetases). tRNAs cope with the degeneracy of the genetic code in two manners: having more than one tRNA (with a specific anti-codon) for a particular amino acid; and 'wobble' base-pairing, i.e. permitting non-standard base-pairing at the 3rd anti-codon position. The record is from RNAcentral. Lineage: Bacteria; Pseudomonadati; Chlamydiota; Chlamydiia; Chlamydiales.
GGAGGAGUGUCCGAGUGGCCGAUGGAGCAUGCUUGGAAAGCAUGUGUACGUGAUAAACGUACCGUGGGUUCGAAUCCCACCUCCUCCG